This is a long non-coding RNA of Dendronephthya gigantea, 180 nucleotides long. RefSeq lists it as uncharacterized. The transcript is spliced from 2 exons. The record is from RefSeq and is a predicted model, not a curated record. Lineage: Eukaryota; Metazoa; Cnidaria; Anthozoa; Malacalcyonacea; Nephtheidae.
UUAGGUGAGGCAGAUCGUGACGUAGAACAACAUGCUGCGAUAUUUGGGAUGAUAAAUCUAGCGUCAUGACAUCUGCGGACAGUGUCAAAAAUAUACAUGUAACCUGGAAUGCGGCUGCAAACCCCACAUCUCAAAAAUACAUCUCCUGGAAGGCAUACCCUUCGUGUGCCCAAUAUGUCG